GCAGUCAUAGCUCAGAUUAGAGCGUCGGUCUUGUAAGCCGAAGGUCAAAUUUAAAAAUUUUUACUGCU
RNAcentral lists this transfer RNA (68 nucleotides) under Rhinocoryne humboldti. Its description in RNAcentral is "partial tRNA-Thr". It matches the Rfam family "tRNA". Rfam says of the family: Transfer RNA (tRNA) molecules are approximately 80 nucleotides in length. Their secondary structure includes four short double-helical elements and three loops (D, anti-codon, and T loops). Lineage: Eukaryota; Metazoa; Mollusca; Gastropoda; Potamididae. The record is from RNAcentral.